Long non-coding RNA from Oxyura jamaicensis (ruddy duck), 75 nucleotides. RefSeq lists it as uncharacterized. NCBI's taxonomy places the organism in Eukaryota, Metazoa, Chordata, Aves, Anseriformes, Anatidae. The transcript is spliced from 3 exons. The record is from RefSeq and is a predicted model, not a curated record.
UGAACAACUGCCUGCCAACAGGAAGCAGUGAAUGAAUCCCUUGUCUUGCUUUGCUUGUGCUUUUGCUUCACCUGG